Molecule: ribosomal RNA, 213 nt
Filed under: Streptomyces rimosus subsp. rimosus
Lineage: Bacteria; Bacillati; Actinomycetota; Actinomycetes; Kitasatosporales; Streptomycetaceae
Description: partial 23S ribosomal RNA
Source: RNAcentral
CGACAGGCGUAGUCGAUGGACAACCGGUUGAUAUUCCGGUACCCGCUUUGAAGCGCCAAACAUCGAAUCCAUUAAUGCUAAGGCCGUGAAGCCGCCCUGAGCUCUUCGGAGCGUAGGGGAGUGGUGGAGCCGCUGAUCCAAGGUGGUAGUAGGUGAGUGAUGGGGUGACGCAGGAAGGUAGUCCAGCCCGGGCGGUGGUUGUCCCGGGGUAAG